Molecule: transfer RNA, 63 nt
Filed under: Angulomastax meiospina
Lineage: Eukaryota; Metazoa; Arthropoda; Insecta; Orthoptera; Eumastacidae
Description: tRNA-Arg
Source: RNAcentral
AAAUAAGAAGCGAAUUUUGCACUCAGUUUCGACCUGAUAUUUGGUUAAUUAAACCCUUAUUUA